Non-coding RNA from Acanthosepion pharaonis, 110 nucleotides. The record is from the annotation of a GenBank genome assembly. Lineage: Eukaryota; Metazoa; Mollusca; Cephalopoda; Sepiida; Sepiidae.
GACCAUAUGACAUUUAAACAUUGGUUCCCAUAUGCUCACUGAAGUUAAGUAACAUCGAGCCUGGUUAGUACCUAGAUGGGUGACUGCUUGAGAAUACCAGGUGAUGUAAG